RNAcentral lists this ribosomal RNA (775 nucleotides) under uncultured Neocallimastigales. RNAcentral describes it as "partial large subunit ribosomal RNA". It matches the Rfam family "Eukaryotic large subunit ribosomal RNA", at positions 20 to 643 of the family's 3401-position model. The record is from RNAcentral. Lineage: Eukaryota; Fungi; Neocallimastigomycota; Neocallimastigomycetes; Neocallimastigales.
CAUCACUACGCUAGAUGCAUAUCAAUAAGCGGAGGAAAAGAAACUAACAAGGAUUCCCCUAGUAACGGCGAGUGAAGCGGGAAGAGCUCAAAUUUGAAAUCUUAAAGGGUUUCCCUUUACGAAUUGUAGUUUAAAGAAGUGUUUUCUGUUGGAGUUUCGGUAAAAGUUCUUUGGAAUAGGACAUCAUAGAGGGUGAGAAUCCCGUAUUUGACCGUUACUUUCCAGCUGUGUGAUACACUUUCAAAGAGUCGGAUUGUUUGGGAAUGCAGUCCAAAAUGGGUGGUAAAUUUCAUCUAAAGCUAAAUAUUGGCGAGAGACCGAUAGCGAACAAGUACCGUGAGGGAAAGAUGAAAAGAACUUUGAAAAGAGAGUUAAACAGUACGUGAAAUUGUCAAAAGGGAAGCGUUUGACACCAGUGUUGUUUAGUUGAAAAUCAAUUCAAUAGUUUUUGAUUCUAAGUAGUAUUGACUUCAUCAGCUUGCUGCUUUCUUCUCAGAAAUUAUUGAAUGCACUUUUCAGUUAACAAGUCAACAUCAAUUUCUUUUGUUGUAAAAGGGUAAGAGGAAGGUGGCUUGCGCUUCGGCUCAAGUGUUUAUAGCCUUUUAUCUCUGCAAUCGGAGAGAUUGAGGUCUGCAGCGUAGAUCCUUCGGGGUUAGAUACAUUGGUGCUAAGCUAUAGCCUUGUAUAGACAACUUGUUGACUAUGCUCAGUCACGUAGCUUACUCGCUGAUGCUAUUUUACCUACGCUUAGGAUGUUGACACACGCGCGUGCUCG